GUCCACGCCGUAAACGAUGUCGACUAGCCGUUGGGCCCUUAUGGGGCUUAGUGGCGCAGCCAACGCAUUAAGUCGACCGCCUGGGGAGUACGGCCGCAAGGUUAAAACUCAAAAUGAAAUUGACGGGGGCCCGGCACAAGCGGUGGGAGCAUGUGGUUUAAUUCGAUGCAACGCGAAGAACCUUACCUGCCCUUGACAUCCUGCGAACUUUCCAGAGAUGGAUUGGUGCCUUCGGGAGCGCAGAGACAGGUGCUGCAUGGCUGUCGU
RNAcentral lists this ribosomal RNA (267 nucleotides) under uncultured bacterium. RNAcentral's name for it is "partial 16S ribosomal RNA". It matches the Rfam family "Bacterial small subunit ribosomal RNA", at positions 793 to 1055 of the family's 1533-position model. The record is from RNAcentral.